GAAGAAGGAGGUAUAUACAAAUGGAGAAGUGUGGAAAGAGAAUAAAGAGUUUAUAGAGAGGAUCCCAGAUCUUGGGAAGACAUCACAUGAUCAAGCCGGCACUUGCUCUGCUAAAAAGAAAGUGGAGGCACAUGAGAGAAAGAGUUGCUGUGGGACAAAGGUUAAAGUCAAUGAUGAAACUUCAGAUUCUUGUAGCUAGUUCUGAAGCACAUGUUGUAUUUCGUUCAAACACCGUCACUUCUCAAUGAAACCGGAAAAAAAGAAAUGUUGUCGAGUUUUCUCCCCCAUCUUCCAUGACACAACAAUAGCAGUUCAUCGAGAAAUUCAUAUAUUAAGCUCAAAUGAUAAAAGUCUUGGAUAAUAAUCUACAACGCACUAGAACGCCCUUGUUGACAUCCUUUACUCCGACAGCAUCUGGGGUUCCUUGAACAAUGUGAUAUCUCAUCCCAGGUAAAUCCUUAACCCUUUCCCCUCUUACUAAGACUAUAGAAUGUUCUUGUCCAAUUUAUUUGCUUUUAGAAGGCUUAUGUAUAGAGCCAAGCCAUUGUUAACAGUAUGAUAUUUUAGUUAAUAAUAUGACGAGGAAAAGAAAAGCUUCUACCAUAUAACUUUACACUUAAUAUAGUUUAAGAUACUUCUAUUAUAUGAGCUAAAAACCAAGGGAGUGAAUUUGUACAAAUUGUGCAUCUAAUGUGGAUUGUGGAUAUGCAAUGUAACUGUAUUGUGCCCCUUUGCUUUCUUGCGAAAUCAAUGAAAUAUUAGUCGUGUUUCUCAAACUUAGAUUUUAAUGUCAAUCUCCUCUUUAACAUGAGGAAACGUAAUUAUAGGAAAAUUAUAUUGUUCAGAUAAAUCUUUUUCUUUUUCUUUUUUUAUUACGGUAUUCUCAGAUUUGUUGUUCAUUCAAAGGGGCAGCUCGAUAAAGAAAGUAUUCCGCCGCAUGUACGCAGGGUUGGGGAAGGGCCACAAACUUCAGGGUGUGACGUACACAACUUACCCUAAUUAAGGCAAAUGCCUUAUCAUGUAGUAGCAGCAGGUUCAAGCUAGAUCUGUUUGGCUUCUCAAUGUAUCUUUAGGAAACAUAAUGAAGUUACUGUUUCGCAAAGCUUCAAAGUACAUGAUUGUAUGAAUAACGUACAAGACGUAGAAGGCAGCCCCAGCUUGGCGAAUCUCAUCCCCGCUUAACGAAUUGGAUUGCCUACCUCCUAUCAUUUUCCGUUUCAUGUUUAGAAUACGUUUGACUGCUUUUUGUUUUAUCAUAAUGGCACCACGUGUAAAGAGCUUAAUAUAUAAUUUGCUGUUCGAGGCUACUGCAUAUGUCCGUGGAAGAGAAUAAAGAGCUUUCGGUAUUCGAUAUUUGAUAUUUUGGUAUUCGGUAUGUA
Nicotiana tabacum (common tobacco) is the source of this 1379-nucleotide non-coding RNA. NCBI's taxonomy places the organism in Eukaryota, Viridiplantae, Streptophyta, Magnoliopsida, Solanales, Solanaceae. The record is from RefSeq and is a predicted model, not a curated record.